GUAGGGAAUUUUGCGCAAUGGGGGAAACCCUGACGCAGCAACGCCGCGUGAACGAGACGCCCUUCGGGGUGUAAAGUUUUGUCAGUGGGGACGAACAAAUGACGGUACCCACAGAGGAAGCACCGGCUAACUCCGUGCCAGCAGCCGCGGUAAUACGGAGGGUGCAAGCGUUGUCCGGAAUCAUUGGGCGUAAAGAGUUCGUAGGCGGCAUGUAAAGUCAGGUGUUAAAGGCUGAGGCUCAACCUCAGUAUGGCACUUGAUACUUGCAAGCUAGAAUGCGGUAGAGGUAAAGGGAAUUCCUGGUGUAGCGGUGAAAUGCUUAGAUAUCAGGAGGAACAUCGGUGGCGUAAGCGCUUUACUGGGCCGUAAUUGACGCUGAGGAACGAAAGCCAGGGUAGCAAAUGGGAUUAGAAACCCCUGUAGUCC
This 426-nucleotide ribosomal RNA is filed under the name uncultured bacterium. RNAcentral describes it as "bacterial SSU rRNA". It matches the Rfam family "Bacterial small subunit ribosomal RNA", at positions 354 to 796 of the family's 1533-position model. The record is from RNAcentral.